GCCAUAUCACGUUGAAACUCUGAAGUAAAGCAACGUCGCGUCUGGCCAGUACAGUGAUGGGUGACCGCUUGGAAAUACCAGGCGCUGUAAG
Non-coding RNA from Acanthosepion pharaonis, 91 nucleotides. Lineage: Eukaryota; Metazoa; Mollusca; Cephalopoda; Sepiida; Sepiidae. The record is from the annotation of a GenBank genome assembly.